AACGAACGCUGGCGGCAGGCCUAACACAUGCAAGUCGUGCGCGCCCUUCGGGGUGAGCGGCGGACGGGUGAGUAACGCGUGGGAAUAUGCCCUUCUGUUGAGGAUAGCCCCGGGAAACUGGGAGUAAUACUCGAUACGCCCCUUGGGGGAAGGAAGGAUUAGCCCGCGUUAGAUUAGGUAGUUGGUGAGGUAACGGCUCACCAAGCCUACGAUCUAUAGCUGGUUUUAGAGGAUGAUCAGCCACACUGGGACUGAGACACGGCCCAGACUCCUACGGGAGGCAGCAGUGAGGAAUCUUGGACAAUGGGCGCAAGCCUGAUCCAGCCAUGCCGCGUGAACGAUGAAGGCUUUCGAGUCGUAAAGUUCUGUUCUUGGGGAAGAUAACGACGGUACCCAAGGAG
This 401-nucleotide ribosomal RNA is filed under the name uncultured bacterium. RNAcentral's name for it is "bacterial SSU rRNA". It matches the Rfam family "Bacterial small subunit ribosomal RNA", at positions 29 to 486 of the family's 1533-position model. The record is from RNAcentral.